This is a long non-coding RNA of Penaeus indicus, 1094 nucleotides long. RefSeq lists it as uncharacterized. Lineage: Eukaryota; Metazoa; Arthropoda; Malacostraca; Decapoda; Penaeidae. The record is from RefSeq and is a predicted model, not a curated record. The transcript has 2 exons.
GCGCCGCGCACAGGCGACCGCCGUCGGCCAUGAUGGCAGCAGCUGCAGGACCUAAUACAACUAAUUUCGCUCAAAGUUCCGCUUUUGCUGACGCUGUACAGCGCGCCAGGCAGAUUGUGACAGUGUGACAUCAAUGCUCAAGAAAGUCAACAUAUUUCAAGUAAGCUAAGAAUCAGUUUAGACUUGAGAUUGAAAGUUUUGAGGAAAUGUGCUAUUUUACAUUUUAUAUCUAACCAAGUAUUCCUCUAAAUAUGCAUAUAUAAAAAUCAGUGCAAAUGAAUUAGGUUGCAUAAUCAUGUGUUUUAAGUUGAUUCAAGAUCUAUUACAAGAAAGAGUUACAGGAUAUGUCUAGGUUAGCUUUAAGUUCUGAUGUCUAGUUGGAUAGAAAUGUACUGGUUUAAUUAUAAAAGAUGUUAUAAAAGUACCCCCACUAAGAUGGUCAGCAUUAUAUGUAUGACAAAUUACAAGGGUAUUGUUAAAAAUGUGAAUAUGUAAUGGGCAGUUUGGGGAUUUCUAUUUGUAUGAUCUAAUUGGGAUUUUUGAAGUGGUGUUCAAAAAUCAAUCAGCAAGAAGGCUUCUAUUAGAUUGAUUUAGAGUAUCAAGAAAACAAGAGUAUCACAAUUCAGAAAACAUAUUGGUAACUAUGAAGUUGCAAGAGAAUUUAGGAUAUUGAGUUUUAGAAUCAAAUUAGAUUAAUAACAAAUAUUUCCAAGUUGUCAUAUUGUAUUAACCAUGUAAAGAUAGAGCUAUUUAUGUUAUAUAAUUAUUUAACCCUAGCAUAUCAAAAGGCCUUCCCAUUACCAUGUUAAAAAAAUUGAAUUACUAACUUCAAAGUCCAUUUUAAAAUAAAAUAUUUAGUUGAUUCAAAAAAAUGAAAGGAACACAGGAGAUUGAUUUGAAUGCAGAUUUGAAAUGUGGAAAUGGUUAUUCUAUAUACUGUCAGUAGUUUUGGCCAAUUGGUGUGGUUGUAUAAGCAUGCUGCUGAAUGCUUCAAGUGCACCUUUAUGUAUGUUACGUAUGUUUCUGUUUGUGCAUGUGUUUGCAUAUAAAGAAAAGAAAGAAAACAAAAUAUUAAGAAAUACACACAUAAGGAC